UCCACCGUCCUCCAAAACAUUAGAAGGUAUUAUGGACGAUAAUCAUGGUAAAGACGCUUCAAGGAUAGAAAAGGCACUACCAAGUAUGGCAACAUAAUAUUCUUAUCUCAAGGAGAUUAUUGAUGUUGUUGCUUAUAGGUCAAAAGAGUGGGAAGAAACAGUGGUUAUGAAAGCAAAGAAUUUGUGAAUUACAUGAGAAAGAGAGAGAAGCAAGAGAAAGCAAAAUGAAUUGUUCCCUCAAGCUCCAGAAACCAAAUGUGAAAAGUACAUCAAGAAGCAGAUGAAGAAGCAACUUCAUGGUGUGCGCAGGUCUAGGAAAGAAGAGGUCAAGUGAUGCCAGACAACAGCGAGCACGGCUUGCAACGCUCCCGUCGGGACAGGCUGCUGGAGUGGUGUUCAUGACCGCUGGUGCAGCUUGGGGAGAGAUGCCUGCAUUGAUGUACAACAAGUUUCCUGAAGCCAAGGUGAGCCUCUUUUAUAUGUUUGCGAGAGACCAUAUCCAGUAGCGUGAAGGAGAUCUGUUUCUACGAAUCUUCCCCAGCCAGCGGCUCCCGUGUGGUUGUGAUGGCAUAGCAAUCAAAUAUACAAGGUGUGUAUAUGCUUGGCUGGGAGGUUCUAGAAGACAUGUGCGCUAGCCGAUUGUCCGCUGACACAGUGGGAGGUGUCAGUCUCUCAUCCACUGACCAAGCGGCGAGGAGGAGCUCCACUGUGAAGGAGACAAUAGACUGGCAAUGCCUCAUUGCUACAACAGUGGUAUCAUUUCGAUGCGUUUAACCUUGGUGUCAGGAUCAUA
Long non-coding RNA from Lolium rigidum, 793 nucleotides. RefSeq lists it as uncharacterized. The record is from RefSeq and is a predicted model, not a curated record. NCBI's taxonomy places the organism in Eukaryota, Viridiplantae, Streptophyta, Magnoliopsida, Poales, Poaceae. The transcript is spliced from 5 exons.